Molecule: ribosomal RNA, 316 nt
Filed under: uncultured bacterium
Lineage: Bacteria
Description: bacterial SSU rRNA
Rfam family: Bacterial small subunit ribosomal RNA
Source: RNAcentral
GACGAACGCUGGCGGCGUGCUUAACACAUGCAAGUCGAGCGGUAAGGCCCUCGGGUACGACGAGCGGCGAACGGUGAGUAACACGUGGGUGACCUGCCUCUAGCUCUGGGAUAAGCCUGGGAAACUGGGUCGUAAUACCGGAUAUGACUCCACGGCGCAUGUUGUGGGUGGAAAGCCUUGUGUGGCUAGAGAUGGGCCCGCGGCCUAUCAGCUUGUUGGUGGGGUGAUGGCCUACCAAGGCGACGACGGGUAGCCGGCCUGAGAGGGCGACCGGCCACACUGGGACUGAGACACGGCCCAGACUCCUACGGGAGGG